UACGUAGGUGACCAGCGUUGUCCGGAUUUACUGGGCGUAAAGAGCGCGCAGGCGGUCGUUCAAGUCGAGUGUGAAAGCCCCCGGCUCAACUGGGGAGGGUCAUUCGAUACUGAUCGACUCGAAGGCAGGAGAGGGAAGUGGAAUUCCCGGUGUAGUGGUGAAAUGCGUAGAUAUCGGGAGGAACACCAGUGGCGAAGGCGACUUCCUGGCCUGUUCUUGACGCUGAGGCGCGGAAGCUAGGGGAGCAAACGGG
Molecule: ribosomal RNA, 253 nt
Filed under: uncultured bacterium
Lineage: Bacteria
Description: partial 16S ribosomal RNA
Rfam family: Bacterial small subunit ribosomal RNA
Source: RNAcentral